Molecule: unclassified non-coding RNA, 312 nt
Filed under: Bombus terrestris (buff-tailed bumblebee)
Lineage: Eukaryota; Metazoa; Arthropoda; Insecta; Hymenoptera; Apidae
Description: misc RNA ENSBTSG00005019889.1
Source: RNAcentral
CGAAAUUAGCACCGCACAAUCAACCACCGUCCUGUCCAUAAAACGAAGUUACGAAGUUCCAGUUCGCGUAUGACUUUUGCGGUAUCGUUCAUGAUUAAUCACGUGGUCAUACGGAUGCCGUAUUCACGGGAUCGCGAUGUUCUCACCAAAGUAUGCCAAUUUUAUUAGCCGUGCAAAGGUCAAGGUUGAAGUAUGUUCCGCUUUUCUAUCUCUGGACGGAUAAAUACUCCUAUUUAAUACGCAAACAUAUAUCAUCCACAGUAAGAAGAUGUAUCUACUACCUUCUCCAAGUCAACAUAGCAAAGAAACUAC